CCUACGGGUGGCAGCAGUGGGGAAUAUUGGACAAGGGGGGGAACCCUGAUCCAGCCAUACCGCGUGUGUGAAGAAGGCCCUCGGGUUGUAAAGCACUUUCAGUGAGGAAGAACGCCUGGUGGUUAAUACCCAUCAGGAAAGACAUCACUCACAGAAGAAGCACCGGCUAACUCCGUGCCAGCAGCCGCGGUAAUACGGAGGGUGCGAGCGUUAAUCGGAAUUACUGGGCGUAAAGCGCGCGUAGGUGGCUUGAUAAGCCGGUUGUGAAAGCCCCGGGCUCAACCUGGGAACGGCAUCCGGAACUGUCAAGCUAGAGUGCAGGAGAGGAAGGUAGAAUUCCCGGUGUAGCGGUGAAAUGCGUAGAGAUCGGGAGGAAUACCAGUGGCGAAGGCGGCCUUCUGGACUGACACUGACACUGAGGUGCGAAAGCGUGGGUAGCAAACAGGAUUAGAUACCCCAGUAGUC
RNAcentral lists this ribosomal RNA (465 nucleotides) under Vreelandella stevensii. RNAcentral describes it as "partial 16S ribosomal RNA". It matches the Rfam family "Bacterial small subunit ribosomal RNA", at positions 338 to 795 of the family's 1533-position model. The record is from RNAcentral. Lineage: Bacteria; Pseudomonadati; Pseudomonadota; Gammaproteobacteria; Oceanospirillales; Halomonadaceae.